Molecule: transfer RNA, 77 nt
Filed under: bacterium
Lineage: Bacteria
Also listed under: 5 other names
Description: tRNA-Arg
Rfam family: tRNA
About the family: Transfer RNA (tRNA) molecules are approximately 80 nucleotides in length. Their secondary structure includes four short double-helical elements and three loops (D, anti-codon, and T loops).
Source: RNAcentral
GCGCCCGUAGCUCAGCUGGAUAGAGCGCUUGCCUCCGGAGCAAGAGGUCACAGGUUCGAAUCCUGUCGGGCGUACCA